UACGUAGGGUGCAAGCGUUAUCCGGAAUUAUUGGGCGUAAAGAGCUCGUAGGCGGUUCGUCGCGUCGGCUGUGAAAUCCCGAGGCUCAACCUCGGGUCUGCAGUCGAUACGGGCGGACUGGAGUUCGGCAGGGGAGACUGGAAUUCCUGGUGUAGCGGUGAAAUGCGCAGAUAUCAGGAGGAACACCGGUGGCGAAGGCGGGUCUCUGGGCCGAUAUUGACGCUGAGGAGCGAAAGCGUGGGGGAGCGAACAGG
This 254-nucleotide ribosomal RNA is filed under the name uncultured bacterium. Its description in RNAcentral is "partial 16S ribosomal RNA". It matches the Rfam family "Bacterial small subunit ribosomal RNA", at positions 524 to 776 of the family's 1533-position model. The record is from RNAcentral.